Molecule: long non-coding RNA, 247 nt
Filed under: Nicotiana benthamiana
Lineage: Eukaryota; Viridiplantae; Streptophyta; Magnoliopsida; Solanales; Solanaceae
Description: long non-coding RNA (NBEN_LNC018200)
Source: RNAcentral
AGUGGCAGGGCAAUUGUUUCUCAUCACUCAAUUCUGAUUUUCGAAGCCGUCUCUGCUUCUAGUACUCAUGUUUCUUCUUCACACCUGUCUUCUGGUGUCCUCCAAUCCAUGGCGGAGACGCUCAAUGAAGAUGCCCUUGCUGAUUACCACAAUUUAUCUGCUGCUGCGGUUCGUGGAGAGUACGAAACAUGUGUUCUUUACUGUGAUCAGUUGAAACAGAGAUGUGUUGAUCAGUUUAAAGAAGGGU